UUUCAUAUUAAUUUUACGGGGGCAAAAAUAUUUCCUACACGCUAGCUUGAACAAAUGCAAUUGUCACAGAAACAACAAGAUCUGGAUAUGAAAUUUAAUUGCAUGCACAAAUGAAAGGAAAAUAUCAUAUUACAUAUAUAAACCGUCUAACAACGAGAAAUAGAAUUACAUUCACAUAUUUAGAAAUUAGAACCAAACUAUCACUACAAAAUGAAAGCUCACUCAGUCAGUCAGUUAAUAGAAAACAAUGUUUGGAGUACUAGGACUGCUAGGUGUACCGAUAUACCGAAACAUAUCGGGCAAAUAAUUAUGACUAAAAACACGGCGGCCAAUAUUGCGAGGCCAUCAGGCAUUACUUCAAACCGCUUCAGACAAAAUGUAGGCUACGUUACGAUUAUAUUAUUUGAAACAGAUUAGUUAUCACAUUUAAGGUGGCUCCCUACAGUUUUCUAAAAUUUUAAGUAUUUUAGGUAGCCUUCGUUUUGAACCAAAUUUAUAUUGAAAACACUUAAGACAGGGCAAUAUAAUCAUUUCCAGGAAAGUUCAGAAGUCUUCUGCUGUCGAUAUAUGAACAAAUAGGAACAGUGUUAGUGUUGCCAUGGCAACCAUGACGUUUCAUCUUUUGCACUUUUAUUGUCUAAUUUUACAAUCAAACGGCAAUAUCUUUUUUUUCCUUCGGUCAAUUUUUCUGAAUUUUUUUUUUUAAGAUUUAUGGUUGAAAGGGGAAUGACAUAUUAAAAUUUGAAGGGAUGUUUAUAAGGCCGAUUUUGAGAUAUUCAUGAAUAACGACUACAAAAAAUCUGUCUUAUAGAAUUUCUUGAAAUUUUGAUAUGUUUGGCGAAUCGUCAUGCUUAGCAAACGUGCAAAGUUUAAAAAACUUUCACCGAAGGAAACGCGAGAAAAAUAGUCCUAAAUCCAGUUGAAGCUGUUGACGUGACAAAAUAUCGAUUCGACAUGAUCACUAUUUGCGUGGGGAACACGAAACGCGUACGGUUUAUAGUUGGCUUUUUUAACAAUUUUCUCUUUGAGUUUUUGGCUUAUAUGUAUCACACAGAUAUUUUUUACUUAUUUGAAAUGAAAAUAAAAGACAUAUGUAUUCAAAAUACGAAACAUUGAGAACACAAUAACGCACUGACUUAAUCCAACGCUUCUUAAAUUUAG
Non-coding RNA from Paramuricea clavata, 1161 nucleotides. The record is from the annotation of a GenBank genome assembly. NCBI's taxonomy places the organism in Eukaryota, Metazoa, Cnidaria, Anthozoa, Malacalcyonacea, Plexauridae.